Molecule: ribosomal RNA, 402 nt
Filed under: uncultured Hyphomicrobiaceae bacterium
Lineage: Bacteria; Pseudomonadati; Pseudomonadota; Alphaproteobacteria; Hyphomicrobiales; Hyphomicrobiaceae
Description: bacterial SSU rRNA
Rfam family: Bacterial small subunit ribosomal RNA
Source: RNAcentral
AGUAGGGAAUAUUGGACAAUGGGCGAAAGCCUGAUCCAGCCAUGCCGCGUGAGUGAAGAAGGCCUUAGGGUUGUAAAGCUCUUUUGGCGGGGACGAUAAUGACGGUACCCGCAGAAUAAGCUCCGGCUAACUUCGUGCCAGCAGCCGCGGUAAUACGAAGGGGGCUAGCGUUGUUCGGAAUCACUGGGCGUAAAGCGCACGCAGGCGGAUUGAUAAGUCAGGGGUGAAAUCCCGGGGCUCAACCUCGGAAUUGCCUUUGAUACUGUCUGUCUUGAGUCCGGGAGAGGUGAGUGGAAUUCCUAGUGUAGAGGUGAAAUUCGUAGAUAUUAGGAAGAACACCAGUGGCGAAGGCGGCUCACUGGCCCGGUACUGACGCUCAUGUGCGAAAGCGUGGGGAGCAAA